This 523-nucleotide ribosomal RNA is filed under the name uncultured soil bacterium. RNAcentral's name for it is "bacterial SSU rRNA". It matches the Rfam family "Bacterial small subunit ribosomal RNA", at positions 8 to 524 of the family's 1533-position model. The record is from RNAcentral.
AGAGUUUGAUCCUGGCUCAGAAUCAACGCUGGCGGCGUGCCUAACACAUGCAAGUCGAGCGGUAACAGGUGUAGCAAUACAUGCUGACGAGCGGCGAACGGGUGAGUAAUGCUUUGGAAUCUUCCCAGUAGUGGGGAAUAACCAGUCGAAAGAUUGGCUAAUACCGCAUACGUCUGUAAAGGGAAAGCGGGGGCUCGUAAGACCUCGCGCUAUUGGAUGAGCCAAAGUCGGAUUAGCUAGUUGGUGGGGUAAUGGCCUACCAAGGCGACAAUCCGUAGCUGGUCUGAGAGGACGACCAGCCACACCGGAACUGAGACACGGUCCGGACUCCUACGGGAGGCAGCAGUGGGGAAUAUUGGACAAUGGGGGAAACCCUGAUCCAGCGACGCCGCGUGUGUGAAGAAGGCCUGCGGGUUGUAAAGCACUUUUAGUGGGGACAAAAAGCUACGGAUUAACACUCUGUGGUCUUGAUUUAACCCAAAGAAAAAGCACCGGCUAACUCUGUGCCAGCAGCCGCGGUAAU